This 323-nucleotide ribosomal RNA is filed under the name uncultured eukaryote. Its description in RNAcentral is "partial 18S ribosomal RNA". It matches the Rfam family "Eukaryotic small subunit ribosomal RNA", at positions 1470 to 1796 of the family's 1831-position model. The record is from RNAcentral.
CCCUUAGAUGUUCUGGGCUGCACGCGCGCGACAAUGACGUUUGCAACGAGAUACGAGACCGAAAGGUUAAGUUGAUCUAGCAAGCUGCGUCGUGAUAGGGACUGUCGAUUGCAAUUAUUCGACACGAACGAGGAAUUCCUUGUAAUCGCACAUCAUCAGUGCGCGCUGAAUACGUCCCUGCCCUUUGUACACACCGCCCGUCGCUCCUACCGAUCGAGUGAUCCGGUGAAUGUUUUGGAUCGGUUGCAAGUUGCGCGACGCGCUUCUUGCAUGCUGUGAAAUCAUGUAAGCCUUAUUGCUUAGAGGAAGGAGAAGUCGUAACA